UGAACUUCCGUUUGCUGCUCAAUGGUCACUGAACUUACAAACACACCACUCCAUCCAUCACCCACUGCCCCAGCCAUUUGAACCCAUCUCACGUGGCUUGACGGCAGGUGAAGUGGCUGUCGACAGCGUCAAACUCGACCACGGUGGACACAAUUUCACAACCAAAACAUGAUCCUUCACCAUUUCCCAAUCCACGAUCUCUCAUCCCUAAUUUGAACACCCAGCCCUAGAUUGAUUUUCUUCUAAAUCCUCCCCCAAAUCGAUUCUUUAACAUCUGGCAAAAUUGGCAGAUCUUUUUUGCCUUCACAGCAACACCGGCGCAGGUCGUUUCUUCAUCUUCACCCUCAUAGCAACACCAAACUGACGGUAGGUGAAGGUUUUCAAAAGAUGGAUCCUUCGGAUAGGGAGUUGGUGUUGGAAUAUGGAAGUUACGGUAGACAACUAUUGACUAACAACAUGGAUAACAUCAAAGCUUUUACUCUAACUGCCGAAGGUGAAGGUGUAAGUGUGGAUCUAACGGAAGACUAGCAGCUCGAGACGCUAGAAAUAGAUCAAGCAUGCAAGCUUGUUGUAUGUUGAUUGCCAUUUGUUUUAGUCCACUUUGCUUGUAAUGAAGCUUUUAUAUAUGUUGAAAUGUUUCUAAUGAUCUUAUGGUGUCUUUGAAAGGAAAGAUUGUGUCGUCCAUUUGUGCACAUAGUGGAAUUGUUUCUAAUGAUGUUAUAUAUUUAUUUUUGUGUUUUCGAGAAGAUGAAUUUCCUCCAA
Olea europaea var. sylvestris is the source of this 762-nucleotide long non-coding RNA. RefSeq lists it as uncharacterized. The transcript is spliced from 2 exons. NCBI's taxonomy places the organism in Eukaryota, Viridiplantae, Streptophyta, Magnoliopsida, Lamiales, Oleaceae. The record is from RefSeq and is a predicted model, not a curated record.